Molecule: ribosomal RNA, 253 nt
Filed under: uncultured bacterium
Lineage: Bacteria
Description: partial 16S ribosomal RNA
Rfam family: Bacterial small subunit ribosomal RNA
Source: RNAcentral
UACGGGGGGGGCAAGCGUUGUUCGGAAUUACUGGGCGUAAAGGGCUCGUAGGCGGCCAACUAAGUCAUACGUGAAAUCCCUCGGCUUAACCGGGGAACUGCGUCUGAUACUGGAUGGCUUGAGUUCGGGAGAGGGAUGCGGAAUUCCAGGUGUAGCGGUGAAAUGCGUAGAUAUCUGGAGGAACACCGGUGGCGAAGGCGGCAUCCUGGACCAUAACUGACGCUGAGGCGCGAAAGCCAGGGGAGCAAACGGG